CGUCGUUGAAAGUAAGCCUAUCAGUUACAUUUGAUAAAACUGUACUUUUUAUUUAAUGGCGUGUGCUUUAGGGCACUACCAUUGCACAUUAACAUAAUAAUAAGGACACGUUGCAUGCAUGAAUCGUAGAAGACGGAGCACUUAUUUAGUACAUGACAUUUGUUACUUCAAAAAUAAAGCUUACACAACUAUCGGUGUUUGGAAUAGGAAGACUGUACGGGGUUUUGCGAUAGCAAUAGUUAUCGCGUAAGUUAUCAAUCUGAAACCCGGAAGAUUAUUUUGAAAAAGUAUAGCCUUCUGCUCGUACGUGACUAGAAGUGUUAGCGACCAAAAAGGCUAGCAUCAUGAACAGAGGGAAUACAGAAACUCAAGUGCACGAGAAAACUGAAAUGGAUUAUACAAAAACACCGACUAAUAACGAAGGACAUGAGGUCAUGGAUUUGGAAGAGGGUGCGGAGAGACCUGACAUUGAUACGAGACAUCAGCAAGAUGAAAACACCAAGCCUAAAAAAAAUGAAGGAAGCGUAAAUAAACAAGCAAACAACAAACAAUCAUCACCAGAAGUAGAGAAAGAGGCGCAUAAGGGAGACUCAAAUACUGGUAAUAAAACAGAAUCCUCCGGAUCUGAGGUCGUGGAUUUGAAAGAACAAAAGAGCGAGAAUGCGGAGAGACCUUACAUUGAUACGAAACUGCAAAAUAUUGACCUCUAUUUCGAAUCGAUCGCUGAAUCUUAUGUCCACUAACAACAAGACAUGAAGCAGGCAAUGAUGCAAAUGGAUCGCGCAGAAGAAGGUAUUUAAUUGUAUUAAUGCCAGCAAGCAGAUGUUGUACGGUGUGUACGGCAAUUUCAUAUCAAUUCUUGAAGAGUUCGAAGCACGGACGCAAGAGAAAAAACUCGUUAGAUCAAAAAUAGAAUUACCCGACCAGUCCAAAAAGGACGUGAAUGAUGUGCAGAGCAUUGUGCAGACGCAACUGUUGGUGUUUAAAAACCUGCAAAUAGCAUCUGGAGAUAGGGUUAGUCAAAGCGUUAACAAAGACCUGAGGGAAAGAACACUUCAUUGGGCCGCCGUACGGGCUGACCAAGAGAUACCAUUACAGACCACUGACACAUAUAUCUGUCAACUGUAUGAAGUUCUGACGAAAGGGAAAACCAAACAUGAAAUUCUGAAUAAAGCCAUCAUGAAACCCGUCUCUGCCAAGACAUUGAAAAAAAAACGUUCGGCGCAUUUUUAAAGGGAAACAUGACGUAAUGGAAAUUGACCAAAAAUUCAAAAACGACGACAAGAUGAAGGCAACAAGCCCCGAUACGCGCCGCUCAGGACUGGAUGACGCUUAUAAACGCGGGGCAGAUCGUAUGAUAAAAGCACUGCCUGCAUUAUAAGAGGUACUUUCACAAGAUUGUCAGGCGUUUUUUGAUAACAAAUAAGACAACGUUCUUCGCAAAAAAAGUGAUUAGGCACGAUGAUGUUUAUACUUCAUUAAGCUUUAAUUUUCUAAUUAAAGGUACAUACAAAAAGGUUUGGUAGUAUGGGCCGGCAUGCAUGAUGUCCUCGUGGAAUGUUAUUAUUUGAAUUAUAAGUGUGACGUUUGCGUGUGUAAAACAUUAGUUUACAUUAUAAUCCGUUUAUUAUAGUGAUAUGUGAUGAACUAAAUAAUGGUCAUCUCAAAUUCCCUUCCUUUUUUAUAUUUAUCUUUAACUAUAUUCAUGUAAAGAUAUAUAAAUGAUGUAACCAUACAUAGUAAAUGUAUUCACAAUGUGAUUAAAUUUGUAUAUAUUGUGACAAGUUUAAAUGCGCUAUGUGUUGUGAUGUUUUUGUCUAUAGUCGGUUUUCUAUAAUAUUAAUUUGGAUUGGUACACAAUAAUUUUAGUAAUCGUAUCGCUGUUUAUUUUUUUAUAUCGUCUGGCUUAAGUAAAUGUAUAUGAAAGCUAGAACAUAAAAUAAUAUAACCUUAAUUGAUCGGCAUCCUCAAAUCCGUUCGGAUAUAGAAUUACUCUCGAAAAUGGGUUUAAAUGUUGAUUAAAUUACCUACAUAGAGUAAGAAUUUGCGCAAAACAUUGAUGCCAUCCUCAUAUGACUCUACGCGUUUUUUGGGAGGGUGGGGUUGCAAUUUUUAUGUAGUAUUAUAGUGCUGAUGUUCGUGUAUCGUUUGAAAUUACCAAAAACUCUUCUUUACUCUUAACUAUAUUUUGAUGAUAAAGUUUGGAUCAUAGAAAGUAAUUUAUGUUUAGCAGGAACGCAAGUGCCGAAUUAGUAAAUGAUCGACGGAUCAGAAAAUGUUCUCUAUUUUAAACUCAACUUCACCAAAAUGUAAAAUUUCGAGCUCCUAUUGACAAUUUAUUUGCAUUUACGAAGAGAAUAUUCAAAUACCGAGAAUUGUAUUGCACAUAUUAUUAAGGUCCACAUUAUGCAAAUGCACAAUAUAGUUCCGGCAUUAACAUGCUUUAAAGUAACUUUGUAUACAAAUCUAUUCAAAUCAAUAUGUUUUAGCUUCUAAUAUCCUAUUAAUCUAAUAAAGUUAUU
Molecule: long non-coding RNA, 2522 nt
Organism: Dreissena polymorpha
Lineage: Eukaryota; Metazoa; Mollusca; Bivalvia; Myida; Dreissenidae
Exons: 6
Source: RefSeq, a predicted model, not a curated record